CCCUUAGAUGUUCUGGGCCGCACGCGCGCUACACUGAUGAAUUCAACGAGCUCCUAACCUAGGCCAAAGGGUCCGGGUAAUCUUUGAAAUUUCAUCGUGAUGGGGAUAGAUUAUUGCAAUUAUUAAUCUUCAACGAGGAAUUCCUAGUAAGCGCGAGUCAUCAGCUCGCGUUGAUUACGUCCCUGCCCUUUGUACACACCGCCCGUCGCUCCUACCGAUUGAAUGGUCCGGUGAAAUGUUCGGACCGCGACAAGGCGGACGGUUCGCUGUCAGCUUUGCUGCGGGAAGUUCAUUAAACCUUAUCAUUUAGAGGAAGGAGAAGUCGUAACA
This 330-nucleotide ribosomal RNA is filed under the name uncultured eukaryote. RNAcentral describes it as "partial 18S ribosomal RNA". It matches the Rfam family "Eukaryotic small subunit ribosomal RNA", at positions 1470 to 1796 of the family's 1831-position model. The record is from RNAcentral.